UUUUCUUGUAAAGCAACAAGUGCAUUAGCACAUAAGAUGCCAACCUGUCUCAUACCGCCCCUAAUGUUUUCCUCAAAAUCCUUGCCUACAUAAAUAAAACUCGAAAUUCAGAACUUAUAAAACCAUAAUCAACCAAAGGUCCAAAACACAAUGUUUUUUCGCAAGCUCCCCAACAUGGUUGUAUACUCUACAUAAAGACAUCUACCACCAGAGCUGCAUCAAUAACUCAUCUCUGUUAGGCAUUUAAUCAUUGAUCGCCUAGAUAACAAUAACAAAAGAAAUCAUCCAAAUUCAUACUUAGCAUGUGAAUUGUGAAUUCUCGAGGCAAAUAAGCCUAGUUUUCGAGUAACAUACCUCAAAGUAAGGGUUCCGAAUCGCAGACUUGAUCACAUCAACAUCAAUACUCCCACCAUCAUUAUUAUUAACAGGUCUAGGGUAGGGGUGGCAAAAUGGGUGGGUUGGGCAGGUUUGGGUAAUGAGUUAGGAUGGGUAUGGGUUAGGAUGGGUUUGGGUUAGGAUGAGUUUAUUAAGAAAUGGGUUUAGGUCAAGAUAGGUUUUUGUCAAGAUAGAUUUGGGCAUGAUAGGCUAAAAUUAUAAAAAAAAAUAAAAAAAUUAAAAAAAAAAAAAACAAAAAAACAAAAAAAAUCAAAAUAUUUAAAAAAAGCAAAAAAAUAAAAAAAUUCAAAAAGAUUUGAACAGUUAAAAAAAUUAAAAAUAAAAGAAAAUUUUUAAAAAAAUAAAAAAAAAGGUUCAGUGCUUGUAAUAGAAAUGUAGGGAUUGUUUCAUAAUAUAAUAUACUUGUAUCAUAAUAUAUUUGUAAUGUAGGGAUUGUUUCAUGAAACAAAAAAUGGAGAUGAUUAACAAGCUUCAUGAGGUCAUUCAUGGGUUUGCUCUGCUGCCUGCAUAUCUAUAUAAACAACAUUAAAAAUAGCUAUGAUAAAGAGUUAACACCAAAGAGAAAAAAAGAACACAUCUAAUCAGCAUAAUAAAUGUUCGAAGGAGUCUGUCUGUCAACUCAGUUUAUAAAUACUUGAUUAAAAAAGUCACCAAAGUUUAUUUAUCAGAUGUGGAAAUUGAACUUGUUAAAAGGAAUUUGGUUCAUGUUGAACAACAUACCUUGUCCAUCAUUUGGGCCGCAAAGUGAAUUCCUAUAUCGUGUUUGCUGCUGAGUUGGCUGGAAAUAAAACGUGACCGUCAACACUCUUAAUGAUGAUAUACACAAUGUAUACAGGUAAUUGAUCCACAAGCAGGGGAUCCAUCAAUAGAAGAGCAUAAUGUAACCCGUUUCCUAAUGAAUGGGUCUAUUCGGGAUCUCAAAUGUGUUAAAUAAAAGAUCAGUUUAUAUUUUAACAUAAUAAAUCAAUGAGCAUCAAACAUUUUCAAUACCUGCAGUUUAGGUCGAAGUGCCUCAAGAGGUCCUCUGGGCUUGUCUACACCUUGCUACUAACAGUCUAACAGUAAUAUUAUGUUUUACAUCAACUAAUACAUUAUGGUAAAAGUUUAACCAAAAAAAAAAAAAACAAUAGCAGUCACCAAAUUCUAAUUGUACCUUUCCUAGAGCCCAAUCAAGUGAAUCAAAAUAAGCCCGUUCAUGAUCCUAAGUCUUAGCACCAAUUCCCCUGCACUGCUCCUUACCCUAUUUCCUAAAUUACACCCAGCUUUUAAUAAAUAACCCCAAUCUAUGAAAAAAGAACCAACUGCAAACAAAUUUUGCAUAAAAAUAAAUCAAUUAAAGAAUAACUUGCUUCAAAAGUAUAUUUGCAGACACACAUACAUAUAACCAAAUUGAAUCUAGCCAGAUUUGAAAUUAGCCAGAAAAAGGAAUUCAAAUUCAAACUAAAAGAGUAGAAGUUAAGAACCCUAACCCUAAUUGUAAAACAGUUUCAGAUCAAUUAUAAGCAGUAUUAAUUUGGAAACAACGAUCAACAACAACAACCUUUAUUGAAACCAAAUGGUGGAACCCUACUAACCUGAGAUCGGAGCACCCACAAUCCCUUCUCAGUUCAAGAAUACCCGCAGAACAACAUCACGGAUUGAAGGUGUUUCUCUUCUGAAUUCAUAACAUGUUACAGGGGUAUGGAGAUUGGUGUGUGAUGGUUGAAGAACAAUGAUCCUGGAAUCCGACGUUUCGGGUCGUGGUUUGAAUCCUGGCCAAAGCAACCGCAUCAUUUCAGUUUGGAUUAGAAAAGAUAGAGAGAGUAGGAAGAUGAGAAAUGAACUGUACCCUCUAUUGUAACCGCCACCAUCGCACUUAUUGCCAUAAAGAAAGAAAGUGAAGAGGUGGCUAUAACGAUAAAGCCAAAUCUGUAUUGGCUUCUUCUACUGUCUUGUAAAUGAUGCUUCAAAACUUGUAUUUGUGGUAAAAUGAGGGUAGAAAAGGAAGAAAAAUGUAAAAAUAUAGGAAUUUGUUCUAGCUUUUGGUAUGCCAUCUUAAAAAUAUGAUAGUAAAUUACAUUUGUAGACAUAGGAGAUGCUUAUAUAUAGUAUAUAGAUUUGCAUAAGGUUAUUGAAUUGUUCAAUUUACUAUUUAAUCAGAACUAGUGAGAUUCCCCCGUGCUUCGCGACGGGAAUCAGUCGGUAUUAGUUCGGUUCGUUACGGUAUCGGAAUUUGCUAUAGUAUUAUUCUAAAGAGAACAUUUACAUCAGUCGAAAACAAUAAAAACGAAUAUCAAUACCGGUACUGAUCUUGUUCAGUUGAUAUCGGUUAUGUUCGUUUGCAUUCUUUGCUUAUUUUAUUUCAACAUUGCAGUAUUUUUUAUUUGAAAACGGACGUUGUAUCGUUGUCGUACCAAACCGAAUUAAAAUCGAUUAAACAACAUCUAUAUCAAUCGGUACCAAUAUUUAAUUUUAUUGUUAACGUUUUCAAUAAACUAACACCCUAUCGUUACGUUAUCAUACUGAACCGAACCGAACAACAUACCAGUAUGCAUUCAUUUUUAUAGUGUUUUGUUUGAUGAUGAAUACUUUUAUCGUAUCUUAAUUUUAAAAGUAAUAUGAGAAAAAUAAUGAUUAAAAUGAAUUAAAGUAAUAAAACAAUAAAAUAACUAAAACUUAAAAAAAAGACCAUAUUGAACAAAAAUACUAAAGUACUAUUCAUGGCCAGUUUCUUUUCAUAUAGAUAAUAGUUUACCAUAAAAAUUUUCCCUCUAGCGUGAUAGAAAUUAUACGUUUGGUGACAUAUGGCUUUUUUUCUUUUUUCCAGUUGGAAGCCUGUAUUCGUUUUACUUCUGAAACUAAUCAUAAUUGUUUGAUAUGCACGAAUGCCGAUUGCUUUGGGAGGAUGUAGCAAAUAAAUAUUAAAAUCCAUUUUGUUUAUAGUGUAUUUCCUACAUCUACGUUUAGCAUGAUAGGGAAUAAUGUUUCUCUCUCAUUGGUUAAAAUGGACGGCCAGCAAUACAUUAUUAAAUCAAACAGUUUAUUAUUUUUUAUUUGAUUUAAAUUUACGUUUUUGCCCCUAGUUUAAAAUUACGUUAUCGCC
RNAcentral lists this long non-coding RNA (3478 nucleotides) under Helianthus annuus (common sunflower). RNAcentral's name for it is "hypothetical non coding rna". Lineage: Eukaryota; Viridiplantae; Streptophyta; Magnoliopsida; Asterales; Asteraceae. The record is from RNAcentral.